UUUUUUUUUUUUUUUUGUGUUUGGGGGUAUCCAUUCCGGUAGUUCUCAUGAGUCAUGACAAAUAGUAUCGACAUUGGUCCUAAACUUUUUGUUGUCAAUUUAAUUAUCCUUUUUAUGCACAAAAAAAGACGGUGGUAUGGUCCUAAAUGUUCAGCAGCAUCCCGUUUCGUUGUUUUUUUUUUCCUCUAUCCAUUUUUCCUAAUUGCUCCACGUACUCACGGACGAUAUGCGCUCCUAACUUUUUUGUGACCCACUCAUAGUGGCCUCAGGCCUUGUACUCAACUCCACUGCUCCACCGACCUCUUUAAAGGGGGGAAAAAAUCUAAUGAGUGUCUAGGAGGCAACCGGCCACCGUCAACGCACUGCAACCAUAUUGACCCUUAAUGCAACUGAAUUGACCCUCAAUGCAAAUCACCAUAUUAACACCCAAUCAAGCUGUAAACUUCUCAUUUUAAGAUGAUAACAUUUUUUAAUCUCAACUCUUAAAAGAUUCUUUGGGAAGAAAAAUAAUGGCCGGGUUUGUUUGGAUUGCAAGUUAUUUGGGAUAUUUUACUGUAGCAUUUUUUGUGAUGUAAUAUAUGUGAGAUAAAAAGGUAUAUGUGAGAUAAAAAGGUAAUCGAGAAGAUAAAAAGGUGUGUUAAAAAUUGUAACGAUGAUAUAAACAAAUAAAAUUAGAUAAAUAAUACUCAAUCCAAACAAAUCCACGUAAUUUUGGGAAGUUGGAAACGUACCUUUCUUGGAGUUGUAGAUGCCCUUGGAGAGUUAAAACUAGAACGUAUUGACAUGGGGGACCCGAGCUCCAAGCCGGAGAGUUCAUCAGAGACAGAUGAAAAACUCGAAACAAUCGACAAGUAAUCAUUCAGAUGCUCAUCUUCCGGGACAUCCACAGCCUCCACCUCCCACAGAAUCCAAUUAUAAGUUGAACCCGUCUGAGGUUUAUCAUGAGUUAUCGAGUUUCUCCACGGCGGAGUGCCUCCAUUAGCCCGCAAAUAUGUACCUCCAUAGGCCCUUAACUUCACCUGAAAUCCAUCUCUAACCGGCUCCCAUUCAAUUCUCAAGUCCUUCACGUUUUCCGGCACGGUUUGUUGGACUCUGUUACCGGUCAUCCCCAGAAGAAAAGGGUCGUUCGAGGCGGUCAAAUACUUCCCGUGGCAACUUUUGAGGCGAAUAAUAUCACUAGUACCGCGGUCGACAACCUCCACUAGCCAACGGGCUUUUUUCGAGCCACCGUUCCGGCUCUGUCUUGUGCUUUCUUGAUCAUCAUCCGCCACUAAAUAUUUGUCCAGAUGACUUCUGAGUCUAACAGCUUUCGUGUUAUGAAAGAACUCCAUGACCAUGAGAAAAUUUUCCAAAGAACCAGAAGCUUAAAGCGUGUUGCUAUAUAGUGAUGGUGAGAAGUUGAAGAUGGUUUUAAUUAACCAAGUACUAUUAGACUGGUGGAAAAGAGGGCUUUGUCGGAUGGUAUUUGUACCCUUGCCAAAGUACUGGUGAUGAAGAAAUAGGCUAAGAAAAUAAUUUAGUAUAUAUAUAUAGAUAGAUACUAGUAUGGUACUCUAUUUUAUAGUCAUAUAUUUUUGUAGUAGCUUAAUACGUAAGGUUGGGAAAAGGUGUGAAUGAAAUUAUUGGAGGUGUGAUUAGUGAAAGGAUUUCCUUGGCUUUACCAGGAAAAAAAAGAAAAAUCCAUGGUGGAAGAAGGACCAAGAAGAUUUAGGAGUUGACAAGGAAAUUUCGAGGUGGCAUCAUCGUCUAAUCUCAAAGAUCACGCCCUAAUAAGCGUGCGAGGUCUUAAAAGUCUUUUUGUUUUGAUACGAGAUGUAUCCUGCGAGUAAAUUCAUUUAUGGCUGCAGGUGGAUUUCUUUUUUUUUUUUUUUUGGGGUGUGGGUGACAUGUAUAUAUAAUCGUAUUAGUAUUUUUUUAAAAAUUUUUUAUGAUAAAUCAUAAUCAAAUAAUAAUGAGUGUGUUUGGAUACCCCAAUUAUCCCAAAUAAUAUUUCGCUUGUAUCAUAUAUACAUUUUCCAACACAUCUUUUUAUAUUCCCAACCACCUUUUUAUCUCACAUACAUCACAUCACAAAAAGUGCUACAGUAAUUAUUCCAAAUAAUAUUUCAAAUAAUACACUAUCCAAACAAACUUAAUAUCAUUGAGGAAUAUUUUUUGAAGGAGAAGUAUAGAUGAAUUUAACUCCGAUCAUCAUUAGGAUACAUGUUAUCAAGUUAGUGUUAUAUUUGAAAAAGGGGACUUUUUUUUCCAUCUUUGUAGGUAAAAACACUAGUUGCUCUUUAUUGAUUGAAAAUUUUAACGGAAAAUACAACUUUAUUAUAUAAGACUUUGAAAAUAAUAAAAUAUAUAAGACUUUGUUUGUUGGUAAGCACAGCUCAUCAGCUGUAUCUUUCACAAUAUAUGCUCCAAACCCCAAUAAUUAGAUAGCAAAUAAAUUCAUAUUAGUUACCAUUCCCCUCCUUUGGCUAAACUCACAUGGAUUGGCCAUUUACGUGAUGGAUUUGGUUUCCACUAGAUUGAUUACUCAAUUUCUAAACUAAAGAAAACGUUGUAAAAGUCGGUUGAUCUCCUUACAUGAUCUCAAUUACGUUAUUAAUUAUAUUAUUAAAUAUAAAAAAUUGAAUUAUAACUAAAUUAUUAUAUUAUGUAUAUAUAUUUAUAAAUUUAAACAUAUAUACAUUUUUUUUUUUCAUAUGCGGGGAAGGGACGGGAAAUGGAGCGGAUGUCUGUUACCUCACCCCCGGCCCAUUUCAAGCCGGGGGAAAUUUUCUCCCCGUACCCCCGCCCUGACCCAGGCCUACCCCGCGAGCACUUGUCCCCUUGCCGUCCUAGGUUACAGUCUAUAGCAUGAAGCGUAAUAGCAGUUGAAGAUACAAGUAGGCUCCACAUGUCCCUUCCAAGACUCAUUUUGAUUAAUAGGAAUAUUAGUCAAUUGAUUAUAAGAUUUAUGAUUUGAUUAUCAAACUCUCUCCUUCCCCUCUCUCUUUAUAAAGUUUGGGAUAUAUACAAAAAAAAAAAAAAAACAACAACACUGCACACGAGUCUAAUUGCUUUCUCAUGGCUUUUCGUGGUAAUGAAGAUAGCAUAAUCCUUCUCAUAAAUUCAUAGACCUCGUAUAAUAUCUCUAGACUUGUAAUCAAAUAAGGUUGGCUAUCCCCGCAUUAACAAAUCAUUUAUUUUCUUCGCUAAUUAAAUCAGGAUGAUAGAAUCUGAGUGAGGCGGAUAUUUUCUCCAGUAGUAAUUGUUAGUUUGUCAAAGUAAUUAACGGAGAAACGGGCUCCUAAAUUGCAAAUCUCCUUGAUGCUUUUUCUGGCUAGAGUCCGCUGUGAAUUGAUUGCUCGACGAAUAAGGCACUGAACCUCCUAGACUAAUGAUGAAUGCAAAGGACAUUUUGGAGCAAUUGCAUUUAAAAGGCCCAAGUGCCUCAGAGUAGGUAUCAAAUAAUGAAUGAUACUCCUUCUUUCUCAUCCAUUUUGAUAAUCUUAAUUUUUUUUUCACACAAUUUAAGAAAAAAUAAUCUACUUUAUUGAAAAAAAUAAAUUUAGAUUGAUAUUUUCCUAAAAUACGAUUACAUUAAAUAGAGUACAAUUUUAUAUUAAUUAUUCAUAGAAACUUAAAUUAAUGGUUUAUGAGAACUUGAAUUGAUGGUUAAGAAACAAUCUACAUUAAAUAGGAUAGUUUAUCCUAGUAAUAACCUACAUUGAAUAAGGGUAUUUUAGAGAAAUUAAAAAAUAACUAUAUUGUUCAAUUGAAAAAUGGACGACAAUUUAGGAUAGACGAAAAAAGAAACAAACAGCACUAUCAAAGUGGGACGGAGAGAGUACAAAAGAUAAUUCAAGUUGACUCCAUUAAUAAAGAAUCAUGUCCUAAUCCGUGAUGGAUGGCAAUUAGAAUCAAAUUCACCCAUAUUUUUUAUUAAAAAAUAAAAAUGAUAUAUAUAUAUAUAUAUUGUUGCUUCUGCGGCCCUGGUGGGUGAGCGCUGGAAACUUGAGGCCCAGGCAAUAAUACGGGCAAAUAAUGCGCGUGAGACCCAGUCGAACGCUGAGAUUUCUGGAACGCAUUCUAAUUUUCUAGAAGGAGCCCACAAUUCAACAAAUGAGAGUCGUAGCGUUCAGACUAUUGAAUUGGAUGCUUGAUGAUGCGUAUUGUUUGUUGCCAAAUUGCACGCAAUUCACACUACUGAUUUUCCCAGGCGCCAAGAGCGGGUUUCGAUGUUUGCAACCACCAUUCGCAUUAUUGUAUCUUAAUCUUAAUUAAAUAGUGCAAUCAGCCAAUUAGCUCUAAUUAACAAACAUGAAAAUUGCUAAAUUAGUUCAACUCCCACGCUCACCGCUAUAUGUGCGUGUGGCCCGUCUAAGUGAACUUAGGCCUUGCUUGGAUUGCUUGUUUCCGUCGAAAAAUAUUGUUAUUUUCCGUAAUCACAUUUCCCUAUCACAUUUUGCCCUCACAUAUAUCAAAUCGCUACAGUAAUUUUUUCAUAAAAAAUGACGGAAAAUGCAAUCCAAACACAACCUUAGGAUGUUGAUAACAAAUACUAUGAGAUGAUGAACAUAAUACCAUUGAGUAAUAAUGGGAUACAGAAUGAUGUUGGAAAUAUUAUUUAAGAUUAAUUAUUGUAGCACUUAUUAUUAUGAUGUGAUAUAUGUGAGAUAGAAAGAUAAUUAAAAAUAUAAAAAAAAAGAAGUUAUUGAAAAACAAACAUGUUUUUGAUGUAAAAGCGCCGCCAGGUGUAUUAGCAGUGAUUGUUGAUGUUUCUUACUCUGUCCAUUUAAUAAAGAUAAACAUAUUUUUCAUUCAAAAGGAUAGUUAAUUUAUUAAUUUACUAAUACGUCCAUAUUUAAUGUAUAUUUUUAUCAACAAACACGAGUCAUUUUAUAUUAAGGAGUGAUAAGUGCCAAAAAAAUGAUUAAUGAACAUGUGUCAUACACUAAUUUGAAUGGAAAUAUACGAGUUGCUAAAAGUACAAACGAGAGGCAGCCCUAAGUGCCGUCAAUCUUUUUUUUUUUUUUUAAAUUUGAUUUCAUCGGAUUCUAAAGAGUGUGAAAGUAGAGCUGUAAACGAACCGAAAUGAAUCGAGUAUCUCAUGUUUGAGCUCUGUUCGUUAAGCGAUUCGAACUCCGUUCGUGUUCGUUCGUUAACUUUCGAACUCUAAAUCUGUGUUCGUGUUCGACUCGUUAAGUAAAGUUCGUGUUCGUGUUCGUGUUUGUGUUCGACUCGUUUAACAUAAACGAGCCGUUCGCGAACACGCUCGAAAAGUUCGAAUCCAGAUUAUUCUAGACCUUAAAUAUGCCACACAAAUCAUUAAUCAUCCUAAAAAAUAAUUAAAUACUAAAUGACUAAAUUCCAUUAUUCAAUAACUGCAUAACCAACAUUAACAUAAAAACAACAAAUAAAACAAAGUAAUUUGUCCUUCAAAUAUAAAAAUUCAGCCAUAAGACAAGUACAAAUUUUCGGCAGUAGCCAAUGGGGAAGGAAAACAAAAGUAAGGUUGGAAAGGGAAGGGGAAAGUUUUAGAAUUUCUUAUGAGUAACCCUAAAAUUUGUCAAAUAACAAUUAUGUCCUUGUUCGCGAACGCUCGUUAAAAUUCGCGAACAUGUUCGUGUUCGCUCGAUUAUUAAACGAACACAAAAAUUCGUUCGUGUUCGUUCGUUUAAGGCUUUCGAACGAGCCUUUAACGAACACGAACGAGCCAAAACGAAGCGAGCUAACGAACAGCUCGGUUCGUUUAACAGCUCUAUGUGAAAGUGAUGGAACAGUUAAGUGAUUUUUCUUGAUUUAGUACGCAGCCUGAGAUUGGAGUGUGAUAAAACAAACAGAGAGCCACAGAGGCAAAUGGGAAAAGGUUGAUUAUAUGACUACUGAGAUAACAGAGAUAAAUGGGAAAAAGAUGAUUUCAACAUUCUAGGCUUCAAACUGAUACCGAUGUUUUUUUUCCUAAAUAAAAUUUUGAUAAUCUCACUUUAAGAUUCCACGUUAUCCUCGAGAUUUGAGAAGAGCACAAGCCGAAAAUUUCACUCAAUCCAGCAUUUCUGAAGCCCUGAAAAGUGUUUCGAAAAAAAAAAAUAAAUAAAGAAGAAAAGAAAAAAAAGAAGGAAGCCGAAGACAGCUUCUUCAAAAUUGAUCUAAUAAGCUUCUUGAAAGCAAUUUUGCAGAUAUUAUUAUUAUUAUUAUAUAGCUCUGCUGCCUCGGGAGAAAAAGGGUGGAAAACGAAAUGGGAAAUGGCCCGGCUACAGCAUGGAAAACCCAACCAUUUGCUGACCAAAGCUUGUGGAAUUAAGAUGUAAAUGGCCACUGAGAAUGAACCAUCUAUGUGACAGAGAUGUUCAUCCCAUCAUCAUAUGGCUGAAAAGUUAUUCACACCAAGCCGUCGCUCUCAUAACAUAAUGAAACAAUCACCACUCUUGCUUGCAAGUCUUUCACCACAGUGCCCAACCAUUCCGCACUCCCCAGUGCCUUUUAGAUUGGUGGAGUUGAAAAUUUGCAUCCUUGCACAUCCCACUGAGCAAAAUGGCUUCAUAGUAGUAUUAGUAUGUGUCUGCUGACUCUGCUCCAAAGCUAAUGCAAGGUCCAAAUCUCUGUAAUCUGUAUCUUACCCAAAUUCGAAAUGAUGAAUGAUGCAUAGUCUGCUUAACGCUGAUGCUUUGAGCUCACAAGAGUAGUUUUCUUUUAUGCUUUUGUCUUCUUGGAUGGGCAGAAAACUAGGAUUUGAACACACUACUGCUAAUUCUUGAAUACAUCAUACGGAUUUCAGAUACAGAUAUUAUUGUCAGAUUAAGCAGUUUUCUGUAGAAAUGAUCACUACUGUUGCUGGAAUAUAAUGCUCUAGUUAAAAGGCUCUUGCUUUUUCAGUCAGAUGAAUUUACUCACAACGGAAUUGUUACUACUAGAUCUUUAUGACCAGAAAGAACAGUAGUAGUAUCUGAAUAGAUAGAGUGAUGAAAGAACUGUCGCUUCACUCCCAUCUUCAUCCUUCUCUGCCCCUAUUGAGCCAUUGUACAUUCCAAAGUGAAGCGCACAAUCUCGCAAAGAAGCAUUUUAUUAUCAUAUUUGUGAUUCCUUCCACGUAGAAUAGAAUAGAAUACAAGCGAAAAGGUUAAAUUUUCAACUUUGGCCAAAUUUUCACGGUUUUGGUCUCCUUAGCUAGUGACCAUUCCUUUUGGGGUUUUGUCUUCACCCCAUUCUCUUCACGUGACUCAGGACACUCGACUCCUCUCUCUUCCCUUCCUCGAGACCUCCCCACUUCUCUUCUUGUUCUCACAUCGGUGGUGCCACCACAAACUACCUAUGCAGUCAACCCAAAAGGCCAAAACUAGAUCAAGAUUUAGAUCUUCCUCUCCUCAUUCAUGACUGUGCUUCGCAGUUGGGCUCCACAAUGUCACCCGCGCCACCAUUAAAACCACCAAAGCCACUCUCUCUGCAACCCCGUUCGGCCGCCGCCACCACUAUCUCUCUCUUUCUGCUCUUCCUCCUCCGCCUGCCCUCCUCGACAGCAGCUCAUAUUUGCUCAGAACUUCCCUCCGAAACAGCCAAAUAUUCAUGUCCACCUUUCACUUACGCCCCGUCUUUUCCUUUCUCCUCGCAUCCUGGCUGUGGUCAUCCAUCCUUCCAAGUCAAAUGCUCACUUCCACAUGCCAUCAUUUCCAUCAAUAACCUCACCUUUUCCCUCCUCCACUAUGAGCCCAACUCCCCUUCUCUCGUCCUCUCCCCUGCAACAGUUCCGCCGCCAUCUUCACACUCCAAACAAAAUUGCUCUGUUCAGCAUACUCUGUUUUCCAUCCCCAGCAAACCAAUCUCCCUUGUUGGCACCCCAUUUCGGUUAUCUGACUCGUAUUGCUCUAGACUUUCAGUCGUCAAACCUUGUCCACCUCCAAACCUUCCAAACUGCAGCCAUUGUUCUUGGGAAUGCAAACUUAUCAAGAACCCCGUAAACCUUCUUCCUGAAUGUAGAUCAGAACACCAAGAAGACUCUCAACAGGGAUGCCGAGGUGAUGUUCUGGGAUUUCUUGACAAUUUCUUGAAACUUGGAGUUGAAGUUGAGUGGGAUGAAGACCAAGAUAGCUACUUUACGAGCUGCAAAACCUGCAGGGCUAAAAAUGGCUUUUGUGGGUUCAAUUCUUCGGACCCUGGAAUGCCAUUCCUCUGUUUCAAAUCCCCAGCUGCACAAAUUCGUGAAAAAGGGGCCAACAGGAUUGCAAUCCUGUGCAUUCUUUUGUUGUUUAUGUGUUUCUUGAUCAUAUUUUUUGUUGGUACUGUUAUUUUCCGGUCUAGGCAAAAAGGAUUGGCCUCAGAAGAAGAUCCCACUAUUGUCUUCCUUCGGAGACACCGCUCAGCUAGUCUCCUUCCACCAGUGUUUACUUAUGAGGAGCUCGAGUCUUCCACAAAUCAUUUCGACCCAAAACGCAAAAUUGGCGACGGAGGAUUUGGUUCUGUCUAUUUGGGCCAGCUUAACGAUGGCCGGAGAGUGGCAGUAAAGCAUCUUCACAAGCACAAUUCAGGCAGAGCAGCUGGGGAAAAAGCAUUUUCGACAAAGUCAUUUUGCAAUGAGAUCUUGAUCUUAUCUUCACUCAACCAUCCCAAUUUAGUUAAGCUUCACGGCUAUUGUAGCGAUCCGAGAGGGUUGCUUUUAGUGUAUGAAUAUGUACCAAAUGGUAGUCUCGCGGACCAUCUCCAUGGAGCGACGGAUUUAUAUGCAAAGGGCACGUUACCAUGGAAUCUAAGAGUUGAUAUCGCGCUACAAACUGCAAUGGCCAUCGAAUAUUUGCAUUUCUCAUUAGUGCCACCAAUUGUUCAUAGAGACGUUACCUCAUCAAACAUUUUUGUAGAGAAGGAUAUGAGAGUCAAAGUUGGUGAUUUUGGGCUAUCAAGGCUACUGAUUUGCUCAGAAACCACGACGGAGAGGGAUAAUUCUUCGGGGGGUGUUUGGACUGGUCCACAAGGUACACCAGGAUACUUGGAUCCUGAUUAUCAUAGGUCCUUUUUGUUGAAUGAGAAGAGUGAUAUAUAUAGCUUUGGAGUAGUGUUGUUGGAGUUAAUAACUGGGAUGAGGGCCGUGGACCAGAGGAGGGAAAAGAGGGAAAUGGCACUGGCUGAUUUGGUCGUGUCAAGGAUACAAAUGGGAGUGUUGCAUCAGGUUGUGGACCCUGAUUUGGUCGUAGAUGCUGAGGCAAUGGAGGGUGUUGGUGCUGUUGCGGAGCUGGCUUUUCGAUGUGUGGCAGCAGAUAAGGAUGACAGGCCUGAUGCUAGGGAAGUGGUGGCGGAACUGAGGCGAAUUAGGGGCCGCCCCCGUGUGGUUGCUGGCGGUGGUGCUGGGGUUUUCAGAUCGUCCAACUCCAGUAAUGUUGUUGUUCCAGAUAGUAUUGGAUUAACGAGCUAAAACAAGACACGUGAGCUAUGACUAUUGUGGAGUUGAGAGAUUGAUCAAAUUGUAUUUGUACGUGCACGGGAGGAUAUCUGACUAGAAAAGUAGGCAGACGUUUUGUUUGGUAUUGGUAAAGAUAUUAUUGUUAAUAGAUUAAAUUACUUCCUUUGCUUCGGUAAGAAAAUUUUACCUUCAGAUUAGUGCUAUUUGGCUUAUGCUCCCUCUCCUGGUGACUUUUCAUAUUUACCUGCUCACAGUGACAGCCACAAGCUAACUGGUGUUCCAUUUUUUUCCCUUCAGAAGGACUUGGCUACCCAAAUAUUCACCCAGUUUGGAUCAUAUCCCGAGUUUUUCACGUGCUUCACUUCCACUUCCAUUUCAGUUUGAAGCUACUGAGUCGUUUGAAUGAUUGCUUGUCUACUAGUAAACCAAUAUACCAACAACAAAUACUCAAAUAUAGCAGUUUAGGUCCGGCGAAUGCCCGUAAAUGUUCAUGACUUUGUUUAACGUGCAGCAUUUACUUGAAUGACUAGGAGAUCAUUAGGGUACAGAAAUGCGGGACUUACAAGUAAAAUAUUCAACAGCCAAUGCUAAGCAUUUAAGGAUGUACGUCCAUCUAAACCAUCUAUGUGAAGUACGCGACCGCUAAUGCACUGGCUCUCUCUCCAACGUUUGCAGCUUCUGGCC
Molecule: long non-coding RNA, 10045 nt
Filed under: Coffea arabica (coffee)
Lineage: Eukaryota; Viridiplantae; Streptophyta; Magnoliopsida; Gentianales; Rubiaceae
Description: long non-coding RNA (CARA_LNC007632)
Source: RNAcentral